This 742-nucleotide long non-coding RNA is filed under the name Anas platyrhynchos platyrhynchos (common mallard). Its description in RNAcentral is "lncRNA (ENSAPLG00000021868.1)". The record is from RNAcentral. Lineage: Eukaryota; Metazoa; Chordata; Aves; Anseriformes; Anatidae.
UCCUCCCUGGCAUCAGGUCUUCUUGCUUACCUUUCUUGUGGACACACAGCAGUGAGGGAGGACAGAAGAAGGCAGAACUCCUGACCCUCCUAGGAGCAAGAUCUAGACAUAGAAAUUGCUUCUGCUCUCCAGGCAGGCUGCCAGCCCAGUUCCAAGAUUUCCCAGCUGCUGCCGUUCAGACUUGCUUCAGCAUUUGUCAGGGAUGAGUGACUUCGGAGUCUGGGUCCUUGCCAAACCACCCUAGGCAGCUCAUUGCACUAAUCCAAAACUGUAAUUGGGAGGUAGGAGGGGGCAGUGGGAGAACGUCUUAUCCCCACCACAGCCCUGAGUUUUUGUUAACUUAGGAUUAUAAGAAUAAUGAACAAACUCAGAAGCCUGUCUCCUUUAUUUAGUUAGUUUUGGGGCUGUAGCUAGCAAUCCAUUAUUGUCUGUGCGAUGUGUUCCCAGUCCAGCCUCUUAUCAGAGGUGUUUAGCUAUGCAGUGCACAUAAGGAUGCCCAUCGGUAUUGAUAUAUAGAUUCCCAGCACAUCCAUUGUGUUUUACAUGCCUUGCAAUUAGCUUUUGCUUUAUCUACUGUGUGCCUACCUCGCUGUACGUGUGCCAGGAAAAAGAAGAGUCACACUGGGAGGGGAGGACUAGUAGGGCUGAAGAAUUACUGAGGGAAAGUGGAAAGCAAUUUGCAAUCUGAUAAAAGCAAUGUAGGGCCAGAUCCUGCCAAAUGCUGAUGCUGUGGGGAGCAGCU